This 448-nucleotide long non-coding RNA is filed under the name Setaria viridis. RNAcentral's name for it is "long non-coding RNA (SVIR_LNC000219)". The record is from RNAcentral. Lineage: Eukaryota; Viridiplantae; Streptophyta; Magnoliopsida; Poales; Poaceae.
GAGUGAAUUGACAUAUUAAAAGGGUCAGUUUUUGUCAUCUAACAAACAUUGGAGCUAUAUUUUAUUAUGGGGUAAUACUGGUACUACAAUAAAGUGGAUGAGUAAGUUAUGGGGGAGUUCUCACACAAAUGGAUUUCUUGAUUAGCACCAGCCGUUGCAUCAACAAUAACCGUAACUUUCUCAUAGUCCAGUGCGACGGCAUCAAAGACAGUCUGCCGGACACAAUUUGGUGUCUGAACCCCUGAAAGUUCAACACAUAUACACACAAAAAAUAUAUUUUUAUAUGAGAGGAAAAUGGUAGAACAAGAAAAUAAAAUUAUUGAUCCAGUAUAGUAGUAUACGUGCUUACCAACAACAACCAGGUUCUUGAUCCCUGAGGUUUUAAGGACCGAAUCCAGGUUCGUCGCGAAGAAAGAGCUGAACCUUGUUUUCACCACCUUAUAGUCCU